AAUUGUGGCCGGGAGAGGCAGCCGCGCCCCGACUGGUGCUGUCGAAGUUGACCUGGAAAGGCACGUCAGAGAGGGUGAGAGCCCCGUGCGCGACACCGCCGGUCGGGGACGCUACUGUCUUCGGAGAGUCGGGUUGUUUGGGAAUGCAGCCCAAAGUGGGUGGUAGACUCCAUCUAAAGCUAAAUACCGGCACGAGACCGAUAGCGAACAAGUACCGUGAGGGAAAGGUGAAAAGUACUUUGAAAAGAGAGUCAAAAAGACCGCGAAACCGUUAGGAGGGAAACGAAUGCAGCUGAAGUGGCUUGCCGUCAGGCUCAGGAGGCGUCGGCGUGUCGCGCGUCCCCGUGGGGGUGUCUCCCCCGGGUGGCGUCUGGCUGCCGACAAAUCUGCACUUCUGCGGGAAGCCGGCCAACGGCAGUCGCUCGCGGCUCAGAAGGGCGUCUGGGGAAGGUGACUCCGCGCCUCGUGCGUGGGGAGCUUACAGCCCGGCGUCUGGCAGUCUGGGAGCGACUGAGGAGAGUUGCGUGUCCCUUUCGCACUUGCGGCGCAGGCCCUCGGGGCUGGGCCCCUCCUGUCGGGUUGGCGGCCGACUUGGUCCACUGCGUGCAGUGGCCGGGGACGGUCUCGUCUUCCGGGUGGGAUGCGGGUCACACCUUGCGCCGUGGCCGUUGGUGCCCGAAUGGCUGCAUCCGACCCGUCUUGAAACACGGACCAAGGAGUGCAACAUGCGCGCGAGUCUUAGGGUGGCAAACCCCUCGGCGCAAUGAAAGUGAAGGCAGGCGUCUGGUCUGCUCGGGCGAGAGCCCCCUCCUCUCGGGGGGCGCAUCGUCGACCGAUCCCAGGCUACGCUGUGGCGGGAUUUGAGUGAGAGCGUGCCUGUUGCGACCCGAAAGAUGGUGAACUAUGCCUGAAUAGGGUGAAGCCAGAGGAAACUCUGGUGGAAGCUCGCAGCGAUUCUGACGUGCAAAUCGAUCGUCAAAUUUGGGUAUAGGGGCGAAAGA
RNAcentral lists this ribosomal RNA (1001 nucleotides) under Iotrochota protea. RNAcentral's name for it is "partial large subunit ribosomal RNA". It matches the Rfam family "Eukaryotic large subunit ribosomal RNA", at positions 141 to 930 of the family's 3401-position model. Lineage: Eukaryota; Metazoa; Porifera; Demospongiae; Poecilosclerida; Iotrochotidae. The record is from RNAcentral.